UUCUCAUGUUUAAAAAUAGUUAAAAGUCUGUGCCAUUCAGUCAGAUUCCCUUCAGGAGGCUUGUGCUAAUCUCUGUCUUUGGGCUACAUUUGUGUGCGUGAUGAAUAUCUAUGAGAAUUCUUGACUGGAAAAGGUUGACUGUGAGGGUCGGUCCCUUUUAUUCCUUACUAAUCCCUGAGAUUAGUAAGGAAUAAAACAUAACAGGACAUGCAGUUAUAGAAAAUUAAUCACAAAGCAAAAGACCAAAGGUGAUUAAUUUCCACCCCAAAGGAGAUGAUUUUCCAAUAACAGCACAUCCCAAAGUGUCUUCCUCUGAUCCCACAGUCAUUUGCCAACAAUUAAAUUCUUCUAUUAAUUAAAGUAUGAUUCCGUGCAUUUUACCCACUGAUAGUUAUGCUUAACUUUCUGGAAUGGUCAUGAAACACAUUACACGGCCUGUUAUAACUUUUACUUAUUACUUUCUAUAUUAUAACAGCUACUUCACAUCUUUUUUCCCUCUCUUGAAGUUAAUAAGACAAAAAAAAAUGCAGCUCGCCAAAGCUUAAAGUUUUUCAGAUGUCAGAAAACUGAAAAUUAUAACUUUAUCUCUGGAUGUUACAAAGAGCUGACACUGGAGACUCCUUCCAAAAGCUCUAUGUAAAUGUUUCCUCUCAGAAAACUUCACCUUACAAGUUCACCAAUAUCUGAUAUGGUUGAUAUGAUAAUGAACUAUUACAAACUUUCAUGUGACAUCUCUGCCAUAAGUCCCUGUGUAAGUUGUUACUUUAGAACGUAUAAUACAUUAAUAUAAACCUUGCAGCUUGAGCUAUUGUCGCACCUGUGCUGUUAUAGAAAAGCAGUCAACACCUGGAUGGCUGUGGCAUGUUGUCUACUAAUCAUAGGGUUGGUGGUUCGAUUCCUGGCCCACAUGAAUUCCACAUGCCGAAGUGUCCUCCAAGACACUGAACUCCAAGUUGCUCCCAAUGGCAAGCUAGUGCCUUGCAUGGCAGCUCUGCAGCCAUUGGUGUGUGUGUAAAUGUUCUGCACUUAUAUAGCGCUUUUUUAACCUUAGCAGUUCUACAAAGGACUUUACACUGUCUCAUUCACCCAUUCACACACACACUCACCAAUGGUAGCAGAGCUGCCAUGCAAGGUGCUACCGUGCCAUCGAGAGCAACUUGGGAUUCAGUGUCUUGCACAAGGACACUUCAGCAUGUGGAGUCACGUUGGCCGGAAAUCGAACCGCCAACCCUAUGAUUAGUGGACAACCCACUCUACCACCUGAUCCCCAGCUGUGUGAGUGUGUGUGUGAGUGUGUGUGAAUGGGUGAAUGAGAACCAGUGAAAAGCGAUUUGUAGAACCGCUAUAUAAGUGCAGACCAUUUACCAUUAACCAACACCUUCUGACCAAUUAGAAUCAAGCAUUCAACACUGCUAUAUGGUAUAAUUAUAAUAAUGAUAGAAUAUGGAAGAUGGUGGCAGAGCACAAAUGGGGUGGUGGUUUUCAGUUUGAUCUUGAAAGUGGACAAAGCAGUCAUUGUGUGAACUACUAUUCUAAAGUCUAGGGUUAAUAUAAUUGAAGAUAAGAUUAGAUUCGUUUAAGAAAUAAUGUGAAACAGACUGCAGGUGUCUGCAAACAGUGAAAGGGCAAGCUAUGGUUGUGGGUUCUGCCUACUGUUGUUUCCUGUAAGAAUACACACGCUCACUUGUGACAGGCACCACACCAUUGUUGUUUCCUGCAGACAAGACAGCAGUUAAACAAGAGCGAUUUACAUCUCCAAAAAAAGAAGCCGCUACUCUCUCUGUCUCUCUCUCUCGCUAAUUCCUGCUCUCAUUCUUUCCUAUCUCUCCCACUUAGUCUGUCACACCCUCCACAUUUGAGUGCAUCUCUGCUUAUUCGCUCUUUCUUUCAGCUUCAUUACGCCAGAUAAUGAAGCACAGACACUGUUCCCACAAUGUGCAGAGGAAUGAGUGCAACAAACCCAAGAGAAAUGAUAUUUCCUUCUCUGUGCAUGUGUAUUAUGAAAGUAAUGACUCUAGUGUGAGGGAAAUAAAUUGGUGCUGGAAGCCUUAAUAGGAUGUCUGCAUGUAUCCUCAAGUUCAAGCCCCUGGACCACUAGACACAAAACAGCUCCAAAGCAUCACUGAACUACCGCCAUAUCAUACAGCAUGUAUCAUGUGCAUUUCUUCGUAAGCAGUCCACAUAUUUUACCAUGUGCAGAGGGGGUGCAUGGUCAAAAAAUUAAUAUCUGAUCUCAUCUGACCGGAACACAUGAUUCCAAGUUCACAUCCAAUGACAUUUUACAAACAGGUUGUUUUUAUGGAAGGGGCACCACCUUCACUCUUCUCACUGUGCGGGGAGCUGUAUGCUCAUAACAUCCAAGUUUGUAACUGUUCCAUAAUAGUUUUAUUCUUGCUUAAUGCUAUAUUUACCUGCUCAUGUUUUUUUUUUGUUUGUUUUUUUUAAAUACUCAUUACCUUGUGCAGAUUAACCCCUGCAUGUUUCUUUUGAAUUAAAAAAAUCUGAUUUUCCCGCAAUGAAGAUGAAUAACAAAAGGAUUUUACAGAUAAACAAGAGAUAGGUCAAUAGCAUUAAUUUUUUGUUGAGUAAAAGCAAUUCAAAUUAACCAAAUGAAUCUCAUUCUAAAACUAUUUUUGUUAGAGGAAAGGAAAAUAGCUUCCACUGUCAUUAAUGGGGAAAUUUUCAAUUUGUGACUAUUAUGUUUAUUUCAAUACAGUAUUCGACACACACACACACACACACACUAACCUAAAUGAUAUAAUUUAGAGAUGAUUGUAGUAUAUAAGGCAGGUAAUGUUAACAUGUGAAUAUAUGCCUCACAUUACUGAUGUGCCCAAACUGAUGCUGUGUUAACUUAUGUAUGAUGUGAUUAAAAAAACAAACAAACAACA
Long non-coding RNA from Ictalurus punctatus (channel catfish), 2891 nucleotides. RefSeq lists it as uncharacterized. The record is from RefSeq and is a predicted model, not a curated record. The transcript is spliced from 2 exons. NCBI's taxonomy places the organism in Eukaryota, Metazoa, Chordata, Actinopteri, Siluriformes, Ictaluridae.